Molecule: ribosomal RNA, 253 nt
Filed under: uncultured bacterium
Lineage: Bacteria
Description: partial 16S ribosomal RNA
Rfam family: Bacterial small subunit ribosomal RNA
Source: RNAcentral
CACGUAGGGCGCAAGCGUUGUCCGGAAUUAUUGGGCGUAAAGAGUUCGUAGGCGGUCUGUUGCGUCCGCUGUGAAAACUCGGGGCUUAACCCCGAGCCUGCAGUGGAUACGGGCAGACUAGAGGUAGGUAGGGGAGAAUGGAAUUCCCGGUGUAGCGGUGAGAUGCGCAGAUAUCGGGAGGAACACCGGUGGCGAAGGCGGUUCUCUGGGCAUGAUCUGACGCUGAGGAGCGAAAGUGUGGGGAGCGAACAGG